CUCAGAACGAACGCUGGCGGCAGGCCUAACACAUGCAAGUCGAGCGAAGCCUUCGGGCUUAGCGGCGGACGGGUGAGUAACGCGUGGGAACGUGCCCUUCACUACGGAAUAGUCCCGGGAAACUGGGUUUAAUACCGUAUACGCCCUUCGGGGGAAAGAAUUUCGGUGAAGGAUCGGCCCGCGUUAGAUUAGGUAGUUGGUGGGGUAAUGGCCUACCAAGCCUACGAUCUAUAGCUGGUUUGAGAGGAUGAUCAGCCACACUGGGACUGAGACACGGCCCAGACUCCUACGGGAGGCAGCAGUGGGGAAUCUUAGACAAUGGGGGCAACCCUGAUCUAGCCAUGCCGCGUGAGUGAUGAAGGCCUUAGGGUCGUAAAGCUCUUUCGCUGGGGAAGAUAAUGACGGUACCCAGUAAAGAAACCCCGGCUAACUCCGUGCCAGCAGCCGCGGUAAUACGGAGGGGGUUAGCGUUGUUCGGAAUUACUGGGCGUAAAGCGCGCGUAGGCGGACUGGAAAGUUGGGGGUGAAAUCCCGGGGCUCAACCUCGGAACUGCCUCCAAAACUAUCAGUCUAGAGUUCGAGAGAGGUGAGUGGAACUCCGAGUGUAGAGGUGAAAUUCGUAGAUAUUCGGAAGAACACCAGUGGCGAAGGCGGCUCACUGGCUCGAUACUGACGCU
This 677-nucleotide ribosomal RNA is filed under the name Rhodobacteraceae bacterium Pbc-contme2. Its description in RNAcentral is "bacterial SSU rRNA". It matches the Rfam family "Bacterial small subunit ribosomal RNA", at positions 23 to 747 of the family's 1533-position model. The record is from RNAcentral. Lineage: Bacteria; Pseudomonadati; Pseudomonadota; Alphaproteobacteria; Rhodobacterales; Paracoccaceae.